This 913-nucleotide long non-coding RNA is filed under the name Homo sapiens (human). Its description in RNAcentral is "non-protein coding lnc-BAZ1A-3:2". Lineage: Eukaryota; Metazoa; Chordata; Mammalia; Primates; Hominidae. The record is from RNAcentral.
CUGCUGCGCGGAAGUCGGCCAUGGACUGGAAAGAAGUUCUUCGUCGGCGCCUAGCGACGCCCAACACCUGUCCAAACAAAAAAAAAAGUGAACAAGAAUUAAAAGAUGAAGAAAUGGAUUUAUUUACAAAAUAUUACUCCGAAUGGAAAGGAGGUAGAAAAAACACAAAUGAAUUCUAUAAGACCAUUCCCCGGUUUUAUUAUAGGCUGCCUGCUGAAGAUGAAGUCUUACUACAGAAAUUAAGAGAGGAAUCAAGAGCUGUCUUUCUACAAAGAAAAAGCAGAGAACUGUUAGAUAAUGAAGAAUUACAGGUAAGAACAAAGCAAAAAGUUGCUUUAGAUGUUAACCAUUUCUCAUUUGUGCUACUUAAAUCAUGCAGGAUUUCUUGGUGCCUAAUGGAGUCCGUACUACAGAGUGGUACUACAUAGGCUCUGAAGCAGCAGUUCCCACCAGAAGCAGCCGCUGAGUUUGCAUGGGUCAUGUACCCCAAACAUAGUGUUGUUUGUUAUUUUUGUUUAAGGCCCUAGGUGAUUCUAAUGUGCAGCCAAGGUUGAGAACCACUGCUGUAGGGUCAGACUACAGAGGUUCAAAUCCCAGCCCUGCUAUAUGACUUUAGGCAAUGGACUUAACAUCUCUGUGCUUCGAUUAUCAUCUCUAAAGUAGGGAUAGCUAACUAUAUCAUAGAGAUGUGGAUUAAAGAGGCAGUGUAUAUCAAAAGCUUAGUAGGCACUCAAUAAAUGUUAUUUUUAUUGUUAGUAAUCAAAAGGAUAAUAGGGCAUGAGAUUCAUCUUAAUAUUGACUCUGCCAACAAACUCUCAUUUUAGUGGAAAGCACACAUUUAACUACAUAUUAAAAUCUUGUUGUUUUUAACUUACAACAUCUUCACUUCCACAAUUCUCUUAAGAACUUAUGG